Molecule: ribosomal RNA, 1401 nt
Filed under: Weissella confusa
Lineage: Bacteria; Bacillati; Bacillota; Bacilli; Lactobacillales; Lactobacillaceae
Description: 16S ribosomal RNA
Rfam family: Bacterial small subunit ribosomal RNA
Source: RNAcentral
GAGUGGCGAACGGGUGAGUAACACGUGGGAAACCUACCUCUUAGCAGGGGAUAACAUUUGGAAACAGAUGCUAAUACCGUAUAACAAUGACAACCGCAUGGUUGUUAUUUAAAAGAUGGUUCUGCUAUCACUAAGAGAUGGUCCCGCGGUGCAUUAGCUAGUUGGUAAGGUAAUGGCUUACCAAGGCGAUGAUGCAUAGCCGAGUUGAGAGACUGAUCGGCCACAAUGGGACUGAGACACGGCCCAUACUCCUACGGGAGGCAGCAGUAGGGAAUCUUCCACAAUGGGCGAAAGCCUGAUGGAGCAACGCCGCGUGUGUGAUGAAGGGUUUCGGCUCGUAAAACACUGUUGUAAGAGAAGAAUGACAUUGAGAGUAACUGUUCAAUGUGUGACGGUAUCUUACCAGAAAGGAACGGCUAAAUACGUGCCAGCAGCCGCGGUAAUACGUAUGUUCCAAGCGUUAUCCGGAUUUAUUGGGCGUAAAGCGAGCGCAGACGGUUAUUUAAGUCUGAAGUGAAAGCCCUCAGCUCAACUGAGGAAUUGCUUUGGAAACUGGAUGACUUGAGUGCAGUAGAGGAAAGUGGAACUCCAUGUGUAGCGGUGAAAUGCGUAGAUAUAUGGAAGAACACCAGUGGCGAAGGCGGCUUUCUGGACUGUAACUGACGUUGAGGCUCGAAAGUGUGGGUAGCAAACAGGAUUAGAUACCCUGGUAGUCCACACCGUAAACGAUGAGUGCUAGGUGUUUGAGGGUUUCCGCCCUUAAGUGCCGCAGCUAACGCAUUAAGCACUCCGCCUGGGGAGUACGACCGCAAGGUUGAAACUCAAAGGAAUUGACGGGGACCCGCACAAGCGGUGGAGCAUGUGGUUUAAUUCGAAGCAACGCGAAGAACCUUACCAGGUCUUGACAUCCCUUGACAACUCCAGAGAUGGAGCGUUCCCUUCGGGGACAAGGUGACAGGUGGUGCAUGGUUGUCGUCAGCUCGUGUCGUGAGAUGUUGGGUUAAGUCCCGCAACGAGCGCAACCCUUAUUACUAGUUGCCAGCAUUCAGUUGGGCACUCUAGUGAGACUGCCGGUGACAAACCGGAGGAAGGUGGGGAUGACGUCAAAUCAUCAUGCCCCUUAUGACCUGGGCUACACACGUGCUACAAUGGCGUAUACAACGAGUUGCCAACCCGCGAGGGUGAGCUAAUCUCUUAAAGUACGUCUCAGUUCGGAUUGUAGGCUGCAACUCGCCUACAUGAAGUCGGAAUCGCUAGUAAUCGCGGAUCAGCACGCCGCGGUGAAUACGUUCCCGGGUCUUGUACACACCGCCCGUCACACCAUGAGAGUUUGUAACACCCAAAGCCGGUGGGGUAACCUUCGGGAGCCAGCCGUCUAAGGUGGGACAGAUGAUUAGGGUG